GGUGAACGCUGGCGGCGUGCCUAAUACAUGCAAGUCGAGCGAACAGACGAGGAGCUUGCUCCUCUGACGUUAGCGGCGGACGGGUGAGUAACACGUGGAUAACCUACCUAUAAGACUGGGAUAACUUCGGGAAACCGGAGCUAAUACCGGAUAAUAUAUUGAACCGCAUGGUUCAAUAGUGAAAGACGGUUUUGCUGUCACUUAUAGAUGGAUCCGCGCCGCAUUAGCUAGUUGGUAAGGUAACGGCUUACCGAGGCAACGAUGCGUAGCCGACCUGAGAGGGUGGUGGGCCACACGGGAACUGAGUACGGGUCCGGAGUCCGGCGGGAGGCAGCAGUAGGGGAGCUUCCGCAAUGGGUGAAAGCCUUACAGAGCAACGCAGGGGGAGUAAAAGAGGUCUUCGGAUAGUAAAACUCUGUUAUGAGGGAAGAACAAAAUUGCAAGUAACGAUGCACGUCUUGACGGUACCUAAUCAGAAAGCCGCGGCUAACUACAUG
This 497-nucleotide ribosomal RNA is filed under the name uncultured bacterium. RNAcentral's name for it is "partial 16S ribosomal RNA". It matches the Rfam family "Bacterial small subunit ribosomal RNA", at positions 28 to 507 of the family's 1533-position model. The record is from RNAcentral.